GAAUGCUGACAUAAGUAACGAUAAAGCGGGUGAAAAGCCCGCUCGCCGGAAGACCAAGGGUUCCUGUCCAACGUUAAUCGGGGCAGGGUGAGUCGACCCCUAAGGCGAGGCCGAAAGGCGUAGUCGAUGGGAAACAGGUUAAUAUUCCUGUACUUGGUGUUACUGCGAAGGGGGGACGGAGAAGGCUAUGUUGGCCGGGCGACGGUUGUCCCGGUUUAAGCGUGUAGGCUGGUUUUCCAGGCAAAUCCGGAAAAUCAAGGCUGAGGCGUGAUGACGAGGCACUACGGUGCUGAAGCGACAAAUGCCCUGCUUCCAGGAAAAGCCUCUAAGCAUCAGGUAACAUCAAAUCGUACCCCAAACCGACACAGGUGGU
Molecule: ribosomal RNA, 373 nt
Filed under: Escherichia coli
Lineage: Bacteria; Pseudomonadati; Pseudomonadota; Gammaproteobacteria; Enterobacterales; Enterobacteriaceae
Description: partial 23S ribosomal RNA
Rfam family: Bacterial large subunit ribosomal RNA
Source: RNAcentral